GGAGGGUGCGAGCGUUAUCCGGAAUUACUGGGUUUAAAGGGUGCGUAGGCGGCCAUGUAAGUCAGGAGUGAAAGUUUGCGGCUCAACCGUAAAAUUGCUUUUGAUACUGCAUGGCUGGAAUCAGGAUGAGGUCAGCGGAAUGUGGCAUGUAGCGGUGAAAUGCAUAGAUAUGCCAUAGAACACCAAUUGCGAAGGCAGCUGGCUAGACCUGUAUUGACGCUGAGGCACGAAAGCGUGGGGAGCGAACAGGAUUAGAUACCCUGGUAGUCCACGCCCUAAACGAUGCUUACUCGACGUAUGAAGCUAGUCUUUGUGCGUCCAAGGGAAACCGUUAAGUAAGCCACCUGGGGAGUACGACCGCAAGGUUG
This 368-nucleotide ribosomal RNA is filed under the name uncultured bacterium. RNAcentral's name for it is "bacterial SSU rRNA". It matches the Rfam family "Bacterial small subunit ribosomal RNA", at positions 527 to 896 of the family's 1533-position model. The record is from RNAcentral.